RNAcentral lists this RNase P RNA (346 nucleotides) under Lachnospiraceae bacterium. Its description in RNAcentral is "RNase P RNA component class A". It matches the Rfam family "Bacterial RNase P class A". Rfam says of the family: Ribonuclease P (RNase P) is a ubiquitous endoribonuclease, found in archaea, bacteria and eukarya as well as chloroplasts and mitochondria. Its best characterised activity is the generation of mature 5'-ends of tRNAs by cleaving the 5'-leader elements of precursor-tRNAs. RNAcentral also lists the same sequence under 2 other names. Lineage: Bacteria; Bacillati; Bacillota; Clostridia; Lachnospirales; Lachnospiraceae. The record is from RNAcentral.
UAAGUAGAAUAAAUGAUCGCGGCUGCAGAGACGAAAGGCUGCAGGUGAGGAAAGUCCGGGCUUCACAGGGCAGGAUGCCGGAUAACGUCCGGUGGAGGUGACUCCAAGGAAAGUGCAACAGAAAUAAACUACUCCGGAAACGGAGAAAAGGUGGAAAGGCAGUGUAAGAGACUACCGCCCUUCUGGUAACAGAGGGGGCACAUGUAAACCCCAUCCGAAGCAAGACCGAAACAAAGCGUUGACGUGGCCCGCCAGCUUUAGGUAGGUUGCUUGAUGUGGCUGGCAACAGUCAUACUAGAUAGAUGAUCAUUCACGACAUAACCCGGCUUAUCGUUCUGCUUAUUCU